This is a long non-coding RNA of Ochotona princeps (American pika), 945 nucleotides long. RefSeq lists it as uncharacterized. NCBI's taxonomy places the organism in Eukaryota, Metazoa, Chordata, Mammalia, Lagomorpha, Ochotonidae. The record is from RefSeq and is a predicted model, not a curated record. The transcript has 3 exons.
GCUCAAGGGACAGAUCAGUAAGGAGGGAGUGGGGCGAGGGCAAGUAGAGGCAUGUGGUGGGAACUAGGGAGAGUGGGGUGUAGAGGCGAUGCCAGUUAGUGUCCAAGGGCAGGGAGCGCUGGUUGGGCGGGCUGGGAUGGAGAGAGAGCGAAGGCAAUAAAGCCAGUGAGAUGGGCUGAGAUACCACAUAGGUGAAUCAAGGGAGAAUGAGGCACAUAGGGGUAUCUGGGCCAGCUAGUGUGGGGCAAGAGGACACAGAGGUGGUGGGCGUGGGACCCUGGGGAAUGAGGGGGACAAGUGUCUCUGUGCUUAUGGCUUGUAAAUGUCAGCUGAGGCCCAGGACCCCCAAACACUCACCCAGGAGGCUGUAUUUGACGACUCUGAGGAUGCCCUCACACUUACCGCCUCCUCAGCCUGCCUCUUGUAAGACUUGACCUUGGCCUGCAGCUUGUCCACCAGGUCCUGGAGUCUGAGGACAUUCUUACGGUCCUCCUCAGCCUGCAAAGACGGCAUCCGUGGUAGGCACCCACCCAUCCUGGCUCUCUUUGCCCAUGGGACACGGGCUGCAAUCCGUUGGUGAGCCUUCUACCUGUGGGCCCAGUUCUUGAUCAAGUUGGGCGGUAGGAGGUGUGGUGAAGACCUGGACCAGGAGUGGCCAAACAGACCAGGCCCCGUGGAUGGAUGGGAAGUCAAGAAACUCCAUCAGAGUCUGUUUGCUUUCCUUGGAAUGCUGUGAAAGAUAGUGGAACUCAGGAAACCGGGAGGAUUGGAAGGGGUCCUGCCUGGGGGAGGGGUGAUGGAAGGCUCCCUGCCUACCCAGAAUGCCAAGUUUCACAGAAGGUGGCAUGGGCCCUAAUCCCACACUAAGGGUGGGGAGGGUCUGUGUGCAGGACAGAUGGAAGCUCACUUAGAUGGUCCAGAACUGGGAGUAAGUGAACAUGAGCA